Erinaceus europaeus (western European hedgehog) is the source of this 320-nucleotide unclassified non-coding RNA. Its record names the gene 7SK. It matches the Rfam family "7SK RNA". Rfam says of the family: 7SK was discovered as an abundant small nuclear RNA in the mid-70s but a possible function has only recently been suggested. Two independent studies have found that 7SK RNA binds the CDK9/cyclin T complex (known as elongation factor P-TEFb). The record is from Ensembl. NCBI's taxonomy places the organism in Eukaryota, Metazoa, Chordata, Mammalia, Eulipotyphla, Erinaceidae.
GGAUGUGAGGGCAAUAUGUCUGUGACAUCGGUCACCCCAUUGAUCACCAAGGUUGAUUUGGCUGAUCUGGCCGGCUAGGUGGUGCCCCUUUCCUCCCUCACUGCUCCCUGUGCGUCCCUCCCGAAGCUGUGUGCACGGUCAAAGAGGAUGGCCUUCCCUGCAGAGAUGGACCCGUCUUCAGUCAAGGGUAUCGGAGUAGCUAUGCUCCCCUGCUAGAACCUCCAAACAAGCUCUCAUAAAUGAAUGCACUCCAAUAGGAAGGGCAUCUGUGUGUCAGAAGCCAAGCUGAUAGCAGUGGAACCCUCACCAAUUAAGAUCUU